CAAAGUGAAGCCAUCGCGCGUAAUUUAUAUGUCAUGUCACAAUUGCAAAUUCCUAUUAUUAGUAUUGUCAUUGGGGAAGGCGGCUCUGGCGGAGCACUUGCCAUUGGUGUGGCAGAUCGCCUUUUAAUGUUGCAAUAUAGUAUUUAUGCUGUGAUUUCUCCUGAAGGCUGUGCUUCCAUUCUAUGGAAAAGUGCCGAUAAAGCUGAAGAGGCAGCUCACGCCAUGGGGCUGACUGCUCCCCGCCUUAAAGAAUUGCAGCUCAUUGACCAGGUCAUUCCCGAACCGCUUGGAGGGGCACAUCGAGAUACUGAAACGAUGGCAAAACACUUAAAACAUGCCAUUGAAAAAAAUCUCUCUGAAUUAAAACGGCUUUCCCUUGAAAAGCUGCUUGCCCAGCGCUAUCAAAAAUAUCUUGCUAUUGGAAAACAUGAAUAAUUAUUGG
This 442-nucleotide unclassified non-coding RNA is filed under the name plant metagenome. RNAcentral's name for it is "partial contains 5.8S ribosomal RNA, internal transcribed spacer 2, and large subunit ribosomal RNA". The record is from RNAcentral.